GAAUAAACUGCUGGAUUUACCUUUGGCUGGCUGAUCUAUUUAUGAGUUCUGAACAGAAACUACAGUGUCCCAACUUCCCAAGUAAUCUUUCUUUGACAGGCUGUCCAUAACUGAUAUAGUUUUAUUUUAGAUUAGUGUAGCCUAAGAAUACAGUUUGUGGUUGUUCUCAGGAUAAAUGGUUUAAUUCUAAUGUUAGCUUGCUGGCUUCCCC
Non-coding RNA from Pelobates cultripes (western spadefoot toad), 211 nucleotides. Lineage: Eukaryota; Metazoa; Chordata; Amphibia; Anura; Pelobatidae. The record is from the annotation of a GenBank genome assembly.